This 520-nucleotide ribosomal RNA is filed under the name uncultured Glomus. RNAcentral's name for it is "SSU rRNA". It matches the Rfam family "Eukaryotic small subunit ribosomal RNA", at positions 569 to 1084 of the family's 1831-position model. Lineage: Eukaryota; Fungi; Glomeromycota; Glomeromycetes; Glomerales; Glomeraceae. The record is from RNAcentral.
AGCAGCCGCGGUAAUUCCAGCUCCAAUAGCGUAUAUUAAAGUUGUUGCAGUUAAAAAGCUCGUAGUUGAAUUUCGGGAUCAAUACGUCGGUCGUGCUUAGGUACGUACUGGCGUAAAUUGAUUUCUCCCUUCUGACGAACCAUGAUGUCAUUAACUUGGUGUCAUGGGAAAUCAGGACUGUUACUUUGAAAAAAUUGAGUGUUUAAAGCAGGCUCACGCUUGAAUACAUUAGCAUGGAAUAAUGAAAUAGGACGUUCGAUCCUAUUUUGUUGGUUUUUAGGAUUCAACGUAAUGAUUAAUAGGGAUAGUUGGGGGCAUUAGUAUUCAAUUGUCAGAGGUGAAAUUCUUGGAUUUAUUGAAGACUAACUACUGCGAAAGCAUUUGCCAAGGAUGUUUUCAUUAAUCAAGAACGAAAGUUAGGGGAUCGAAGACGAUCAGAUACCGNGUAGUCUUAACCAUAAACUAUGCCGAUAGGGGUCGGAUGGAUUGGUUUAAUUUUUUAAUCGUACUUCAUUUCGGC